This 495-nucleotide ribosomal RNA is filed under the name uncultured bacterium. Its description in RNAcentral is "partial 16S ribosomal RNA". It matches the Rfam family "Bacterial small subunit ribosomal RNA", at positions 28 to 507 of the family's 1533-position model. The record is from RNAcentral.
GACGAACGCUGGCGGCGUGCCUAAUACAUGCAAGUAGAACGCUGAAGGAGGAGCUUGCUCUUCUGGAUGAGUUGCGAACGGGUGAGUAACGCGUAGGUAACCUGCCUGGUAGCGGGGGAUAACUAUUGGAAACGAUAGCUAAUACCGCAUAAGAGUAGAUGUUGCAUGACAUUUACUUAAAAGGUGCAAUUGCAUCACUACCAGAUGGACCUGCGUUGUAUUAGCUAGUUGGUGGGGUAACGGCUUACCAAGGCGACGAUACAUAGCCGACCUGAGAGGGUGAUCGGCCACACUGGGACUGAGACACGGCCCAGACUCCUACGGGAGGCAGCAGUAGGGAAUCUUCGGCAAUGGACGGAAGUCUGACCGAGCAACGCCGCGUGAGUGAAGAAGGUUUUCGGAUCGUAAAGCUCGGUUGUAAGAGAAGAACGAGUGUGAGAGUGGAAAGUUCACACUGUGACGGUAGCUUACCAGAAAGGGACGGCUAACUACGUG